This 794-nucleotide unclassified non-coding RNA is filed under the name Hevea brasiliensis (rubber tree). The record is from RNAcentral. Lineage: Eukaryota; Viridiplantae; Streptophyta; Magnoliopsida; Malpighiales; Euphorbiaceae.
GCUGUUAACCACACCGUUAGAAAUUAACAGAACUGCUAUCUCACUGUCUCAUUUUUGAAAAUGAACUGAAAUGCCACCAUUGGAUCAUAGUUGAACUGUGUGGUUAACGGCAGGUACAAUUACACUAUUGUCAAUAGUUCAGGGUGUGGUUGUUAAAAAAAAAAAGGUUUAAAGUUUAGGAUUUUUUUGGCCAUUAUCCCUUAAGUUUAUUUAGGAUUCUUAAUUAGUAUUGGCUUAGUAAUUUUUUUUUUUUGGGAAUGUGUUUCUCACCCCUAUUUUCCCAUAACUCUUCUUGCUCUACGUUGCUUAAAUCUCAUGAAUUUUCAUUAACAUAGUUAAUAAAUGGCUGGCAUAAAUUCUUCCCUCCUUCUUGGAUUCUAAGGAGAUAUCGAAGUUUAAGAGGGAGACAGAUUGAGAGAUGGAGAGAGAAACGAUAAAUUUGUACUUCUGAAUAUUUCUUUUUUUCUACUUUUUGUCUUUUUUAAGGAUUCUUGAAAGGGAGAAUGGGAGGUAUAAAGGGAUGCAAAGUGACUUCAUUUCUUUUUCCCAUUAUCCUUGAAUUUUGGUUUAUAUAACAAACACUUAAUUCAGUCAAAAUAAAAUUAUAUAUAUCAGAUUGAAGUAGCUUUGACCACAUCCAAAAUGGCUGUGACAAUAGCAACUUCCUUUAGAAAUGUUAAAUAUGGCCUUUUGGUUGCACAAGGGAGAUUUUAUUUUAUUUUAUUUUUUGGGGGGCUUUUUUUCACUGGUGCAUGAAAGGGCAGCUGAGGCUGAGCUGCUGACGCGAGAGGAGA